RNAcentral lists this long non-coding RNA (751 nucleotides) under Rhinopithecus bieti (black snub-nosed monkey). RNAcentral describes it as "lncRNA (ENSRBIG00000046337.1)". The record is from RNAcentral. Lineage: Eukaryota; Metazoa; Chordata; Mammalia; Primates; Cercopithecidae.
UUUUAAUACAUCUUUGAGGAAAUGUAAAGCUGGGGAGCAGUCUAGUAAGCACAAGAAAAUGUGUGUUUUUCACAUAUUGACAUUACUAAUCCUUGGGGAAAUACAAGUAAAAACCAUAAUGAAAUACCAAUUUGUACCUAUUAGGAUGGCUAUUACAAAGAAAAUUCAAAGCAUAUCGAGUGUUGACCAGGAUAUGAAAAAAUUGAAACUCUUUGCAUUACUGGUGAAAAUGUAAAAUAAUGUGGUCUUUGUGGAAAACAUCAUGCUGUUUGCUAAAAAUAUUAAACACAGAAUUAGCAUAUUAUCCAGGAAUUACACAUCUACGUAUAUGCCCAAAAAUAGUAAAAGCAGAGACUCGAGCAGAUAAAAGUGUACCCUUGUUUCCAAAACGACGUGCUGCUCCUAAAAACAAUGGUCUUUUGAUCAGUUUCUACAUUUUUUCACCUUUGCUCAUUUUAAUUGCUAUUGUCAGUCUUAAAUGGAAUAAAAUGAAGAGAUUUUGGAGCAAAGUGGGAACAGUAAGCAGCAAAUCUAUCUCAGAAGACAGCAGUAGUAACAACAGCCAGUCACAGAGUUAAAGUAACCAAGUGAUAAAAUCAAAGCCAUCAGAUGAAGAAAGGAUAUUACCAAGAAACUCACCGUUAACUUAAAACUUUCAAUUUCACAAAACAAAAUAAAUCAUAUGACUAAAAGCACACAAGCUUGUGUCUAUUGAUUCUUCUACCCUCCAUGAUCCUUUAGCAGGAAGUGA